This is a non-coding RNA of Trichonephila inaurata madagascariensis, 79 nucleotides long. The record is from the annotation of a GenBank genome assembly. Lineage: Eukaryota; Metazoa; Arthropoda; Arachnida; Araneae; Nephilidae.
UAUGUCGCCCAGCCAUUAUGGUGACUAUGACCCUCGGCUUGUAACCGAGUGGGUUCGGGUUCGAAUCCCGACUGAAAAA